This is a non-coding RNA of Thamnophis sirtalis, 675 nucleotides long. The record is from RefSeq and is a predicted model, not a curated record. NCBI's taxonomy places the organism in Eukaryota, Metazoa, Chordata, Lepidosauria, Squamata, Natricidae.
UUAUAUGGAUGCUGUGGUUUCUUUGGUUACGUUGAUGCUGGACACAGGAUUGCCCUGUUUCCGGGGACAGACCAUCAAACUCUUGAAGAACAGGUUCAGCCCCAACAUGACUGAGCGAGAAGCUGCCAACUUCAUCAUGAAGAUCAUUCAGAAUUGCUUCCUCAGCAACAGGAGCAAGACCUACGAUAUGAUCCAGUACUACCAAAACGAUAUUCCUUACUAAAACAGUGGGGAGAAACACCACAAUCGCGUCCCCUUCCUCCCAGCCUUGAAAUGUGAAUUUCUGAGAUCGUUGUCUCCCAUUCUUUGAAGCAAGCCCUGUGUGCGUGCGCCCGCGUUUGCAUGCCAAGCUGGGUGUCGUCCCCCCUGUGGUAGCAGAUGCCGCAACAAUCAACCAACAUCUUAGCUCGCGCCUUUCGUCUUUGCUGGGAUCCUCACGUGGCGUAGCCGUGAUCUAGAAAUUAGCCGUCGUCAUAGACUCUUAAAAAAUCUUGUUGCACUUGUGAAGACGGGCAAAUUUGAAACCUUCGGUGGAUGUCGGGCAAAGUCUCCCCCACCCCUUCUUGGCAUGUCUCAAAGCCAGAAUCUUUUGACGUGGUUCUUCUAGAGCAGGGGUCGACAACCUUAAACACUCAAAGAGCCACAAAGGUCCUAACUGAAAGCCUCCUGUUCAGU